Molecule: long non-coding RNA, 1165 nt
Filed under: Sus scrofa (pig)
Lineage: Eukaryota; Metazoa; Chordata; Mammalia; Artiodactyla; Suidae
Description: lncRNA (ENSSSCG00060055558.1)
Source: RNAcentral
AGUCUCAGAGAAGCCCUGUACAUCUGUGCUCCUGGGUUUUGAGCUCCAUCAGAAAUGAUAAGUGAGAGUACUGUGGCAGCAGCUGAAACUAAAGUUUAUCCAGACCUAGCCUUGUAGGUGCUUGUUUUACCUGCUUCAAAACUGAGUGCUCUGGCUCCAGAGUCCAGAUGCAUCCAGAUCUGGAGGCCCCAAACUGGUAUAUGUAGGGAAGACAGGACAUGAUAUCUUGGAUUUGCUACAGGAAGAUAUAGCCACAGCUGGAUAUAGCACCCAAAGUGAAGAGACAGAGGAAGAAAUAAUUUGGCUUCUUCCUACAUCCUGCCUCCAAUAUUCCACUGGAGCCUCCCUUUGGCUGAAACUGAUUGGAAGUCAGUGGGUAAAAAUUCCUGGGAAAUGUGGUUUGUACAGCAAGCUCCUUUUGGAGCAGGAGAAAAAUAUGGAAGUGGUCUAUGAGCAAGCAGUUUCUAGACUAUAAUCUUACAGAUAUGGUGCUUUGUGAUGAUGAAUAUCCCAAAAGAUCUGCUGAUAUUAAAGCAUAAUUGGAUAACAAUGACCCAGCACAGGGGAUUGCAAGGCUCCUGAUUGAGGAUAUCCAUUAUCCCUGAGGGGCAAUGGUUUAGAAAUUUGAAGCCAUGGGAUUUGGUCAACAUAUGCUAACAUUAGAAGGCCAUAGAAAGAGAUUCACCCUGAAUCCUGCCACUAAUCCUGGACUGUUAGAAUCCUUCUUCCCCAGACACCUGUGUGGGACUUCAAGGCCUCUCCAAGGAGAUAUAACUCAAAAAAGCUCCGGCUGAUAUAAAAAUUACCAGACCCUUAUUGCCCCACCCAUCUCAUUGUAAUGCCCCCUCCCUCACCUUGAGUGACCCGGCCUACUCCUUCCUACCCUCUACUAGGAAAGGUAUGUGGCCCACUCCUCAUCCCACCCCUAUAGGGGCAUUAUAUAUCCCCAAACUACCAGCAAGUGUGUCAUAAGACUCCCUUUCCCCAACCAAUAAGUGGGUCAGCAGCUGUAUUGUAAGACCUCUCCUCUCUACCUGGGGCUAUAAAAACAGGCACAACUACUUGCUCAGGUCAGCUUUCCAUUAUCAGCAGGAAGUCCUUACAUUGCACUAGCAGUGUCUCUUAUCUCAAUAAACUUAAAUUUCUUUUGACCCUGCUAUGAGUC